RNAcentral lists this ribosomal RNA (458 nucleotides) under Neosparassus calligaster. Its description in RNAcentral is "partial 16S ribosomal RNA". It matches the Rfam family "Archaeal large subunit ribosomal RNA", at positions 1904 to 2677 of the family's 2987-position model. Lineage: Eukaryota; Metazoa; Arthropoda; Arachnida; Araneae; Sparassidae. The record is from RNAcentral.
AAAAACAUAUUUAAUAGAAAUUAUUAUUAAUAUAUCCUGCUCAAUGAAUAAUUAAAUAGCCGCAGUUCAUACUGUGCUAAGGUAGCAUAAUCAUUUGUCUUUUAAUUAAAGACUAGAAUGAAAGGAUAAACAUUUUAAUCUUUACUAUAAUCUUAAUUUUUCAAUUUAUUUUAAAUGUAAAAACACAUUUAUUUAUUAGAAAGACGAAAAGACCCUAUUGAACUUAACUUAAGUUAAACUGGGGCAGUUAAUCAAAAAUUAUUUUAAUUUUUAAUUUUUUAAAAAUGACCCGAUUUAAUCGAUAAAUUGAUCAAGUUACCAUAGGGAUAACAGCGUAAUAAUUUUCUAUAGAUCUUAUAUAAAAAUCUGAUUGCGACCUCGAUGUUGAAUUAAUUUCUCUAAAAAAUGCAACAAUUUUUCAAGAAAGUCUGUUCGACUUUUAAUAAAUUACAUGAUCU